AGACCAUGGUGAGGAUAUUUCCUAAACAAUUCCUUAUAUCUCUCUCACGACUCAUAUCAUGAUUCAUUACCAAAUUGUGAAAAAGUUGUUAUGUCAUUUAUUAAUUU
This is a small nucleolar RNA of Diospyros lotus (date-plum), 107 nucleotides long. The record is from RefSeq and is a predicted model, not a curated record. Lineage: Eukaryota; Viridiplantae; Streptophyta; Magnoliopsida; Ericales; Ebenaceae.